Molecule: ribosomal RNA, 508 nt
Filed under: uncultured bacterium
Lineage: Bacteria
Description: partial 16S ribosomal RNA
Rfam family: Bacterial small subunit ribosomal RNA
Source: RNAcentral
GACGAACGCUGGCGGCGUGCCUAAUACAUGCAAGUCGAACGCUUCUUUCCUCCCGAGUGCUUGCACUCAAUUGGAAAGAGGAGUGGCGGACGGGUGAGUAACACGUGUGUAACCUACCCAUCAGAGGGGGAUAACACUUGGAAACAGGUGCUAAUACCGCAUAACAGUUUAUGCCGCAUGGCAUAAGAGUGAAAGGCGCUUUCGGGUGUCGCUGAUGGAUGGACCCGCGGUGCAUUAGCUAGUUGGUGAGGUAACGGCUCACCAAGGCCACGAUGCAUAGCCGACCUGAGAGGGUGGUCGGCCACACUGGGACUGAGACACGGCCCAGACUCCUACGGGAGGCAGCAGUAGGGAAUCUUCGGCAAUGGACGAAAGUCUGACCGAGCAACGCCGCGUGAGUGAAGAAGGUUUUCGGAUCGUAAAACUCUGUUGUUAGAGAAGAACAAGGACGUUAGUAACUGAACGUCCCCUGACGGUAUCUAACCAGAAAGCCACGGCUAACUACGUG